GCAGCCGCGGUAAUACGGAGGAUGCGAGCGUUAUCCGGAUUUAUUGGGUUUAAAGGGUGCGUAGGCGGUUUAUUAAGUCAGCGGUUAAAUGUCGGGGCUCAACCCCGGCCUGCCGUUGAAACUGAUAAUCUAGAGUUGCAGCGGAGCAUGCGGAAUGCGCAGUGUAGCGGUGAAAUGCAUAGAUAUUGCGCAGAACUCCGAUCGCGAAGGCAGCGUGCUAGUUGCAUACUGACGCUGAGGCACGAAAGCGCGGGUAUCGAACAGGAUUAGAUACCCC
Molecule: ribosomal RNA, 277 nt
Filed under: uncultured Cellulosilyticum sp.
Lineage: Bacteria; Bacillati; Bacillota; Clostridia; Lachnospirales; Cellulosilyticaceae
Description: partial 16S ribosomal RNA
Rfam family: Bacterial small subunit ribosomal RNA
Source: RNAcentral